This is a long non-coding RNA of Doryrhamphus excisus (bluestripe pipefish), 2968 nucleotides long. RefSeq lists it as uncharacterized. The record is from RefSeq and is a predicted model, not a curated record. Lineage: Eukaryota; Metazoa; Chordata; Actinopteri; Syngnathiformes; Syngnathidae.
CAAAGUGUGAUCAUUAACUGUAAAACAUAGACUCAAACAUUGGGAGUGAUCCCUUAUCUUGAAAAUACAAGAUCGUUGUUGCCGCCAAGCAACUCUGCCUGGAAACAGGAAGUGCUGCGUGUUUGUUUUGUGCGACUUUAAUAUCUUCAUGCUAGCUUCAUGUACAGGUGUGUCGAGUACAGUGAAGCAUGAUGGGAGGAGAUGUGAGCAGAGAGAGCAAAAGUGAUGAAGACCAGGAAAGACGAGAUCUCCCCACACCUGACUUGUCUUCAUUGCAAGAGCCUGCAGGAGCGCUGCCCCAGUGCAUGCUGGGAGACAGAAAGGUGGAUGACAUGCGCUUCAUGGUCUCCUGUACUAAUUGGUACUGACUCACGUGGUGCAUUCAAGGACCAGCGUGUUGACCACACAGUCUGGAGAAGUACAAACAGUCAUGAUGGGUUUUGUCGUCUAAAAUGGCGUCUUGGUAGUGGCUUCCGGUGCGGACGGAGUUUGUCCAAGUGGUGUUGGGUACGCAUUUGGUUCUGCUGUGGAACUUUUAGAGGUCAUCUGAGGUCACCGUGGUUGUCACGUGAUGAUAAUGAUAUGGUGAAGUGUUAUUUAAUGAUCCAUGAAACGUGCUCCAAAGUUCAAUUUUAUUGCAAAGACAUUUUCAACAAAUAGAAAAGACAAGUGUGUUGCCGUGGUAACGAGAAAAAAAGAAAGCUUUGUGCUUGAAAGUCAAAAGUGAUGAAUAAACCCAAAUACAAAACUCUAUAUGCUCUGAUCCAUGUGAAAAAGCUUUUAUUUACACAAGAAGCCGACUGUUAAAGCUAUUUGUGAUAUGUUUUUACAAACCAACAAAGGCAACAAUGUGCUCGCUAAAGGGAGACGCAGAUGCCUCAAGCCACGCCCCCGGGACGCAGAUCCGCAUCUCCCUUUAAAGGCAACUCACUGUCCAUCAUAUCCACCAGAACCUCAGCACACACCCAUGCUGGGCAGGAUGUGUGUGUGAGAAUGAAUGUGGCGCGAUGGAAUGACGUGACGUGACAAGCCCCGCCCAACUGGCUGCCAAAAGAAACCCGCCUCUUUUGUCAACAUUUGCACAAACAAUUACUUGCGCACAAUCAUAAUUUCUAUGCCACGAUCCAUUUUACUGCUUAUUUACAAAACCCUUUUUCUUUCUAAAACCACGCAAAAGAAAAACGGCUAGCUCGUAACAUCGUGCUACGCUAGUGAUGUAAAUAUGUGCUAACAUGCGAACUAGCGAGCAGGUGAACGUGUCUGGUGAGGAAAAAAUUAAAUAAAUGAAAAUAAAAUCUGGUAAUGACUUGGUUCCGGCAACAUUCGCAGCUAAACUGUAGCCUGUCUUCAUCACGGAACGGCCAACGUUCCAUUUGUGGCUGUCAGCCAUCUUUGUUAGUAUUUAUGGCCUUUGUUGCCCCGAGUCACACCCACUCUUGCACGGCGUACUUGUAGUAGUGUGGCGGUAUAGCGGCCGGCUGCACGCUUUUGUUCUUAAACUGGAACACGGUGUAGACCAGGACCAGGACACACAGCGACAGCACGCAUGGGAUCACCACGGCGAUGGCGUUGACCGUGGCCGGGAUGUCGUUGAUGGCUACCAUGAUGUCCAAGUCAUCCAGGGGGCGCUGGCGGUCGCCACGGUUACUCUUCCCGCCUGGAUGCUCCACGUCGGACUGUUCGCAUCCCAUCCAGUCCUUCAAGAUGGAUUUUGGGUACCCGGGUUCCACUGACAACUUUUGGUUGUCAAACUUCCAGUAGUCCCGCCCCUUGUAGAAGUAGGUGUAGUCUGGGGGAGGGGCACACACACAUCACGUUUACCCGAUGACCCCAUGAGGUCGUGAGGUGUGUGCAUAUGUGUGUGUUUCCGACACUCACAUCCCUCCCUGCUGACGAAGGCUCCCUGAGGGGCGGGUGGCACGCCUUUCCACACACUGAUGGGUUUGGGGUAGCCUGGGUCGGCCGCCCCCCUCUCCUCGUUGUAGCGCCAGUACCGGUCCCCCUUGAACAAGUACGUCUUUCCCACCGGAUCCCAACGCAGCGCAGCAUCCACGCCACCUUGGGGGAGGCGCACGUUGAGCUGGGCCAGACUGCGGGGGAAGCCCGGCUCGGGCGUCACCUCCCGGAACAGCCAGUACUUGUCACCUAGGAGACAGUGAUGGCGUCAAAUUUCAAAGUAAAACAGGAAGUUGACGUUUGAAUCCUUCACCUUUGAAGAAGACAAAUUUGCCAUCAGCUCUCUCGUAGGCGGCGUCGAUGUGAGGUGGCAAACCCUUCCAAAAAUGAUCGAUCAGCAUCGGAUAACCUUCCAGAACCUUGUUGUUCCUCAAACGCCAGAACCAGCGAUCCUGAACACAACCAAGAUAUCCUGUCAGCGUCUACGUGCUGACCUUUGCCAGCGAAUGUUUGCACCUUCCGGGACUUUCUUUGUCCUAGAACAUUGUGAAACAUUGUAAAUAUCCUGACACACAGAACAUUCUAGACCAUUGUGAAUCCUACUGGACUUUAACACACUUUGGAGCAUUCUAGAACAUUAUGAAUGUUGUCCUAGAACAUUAUGGAACAUCAAACAUUACAAAACAUUCCAGUACAUUACAAAUUUCCCCACUGAGGGACGAAUAAAGGCAUAUCUUACAUUAUGAUUGUUAUCCUAGAACAUUUGAGUACUAUUGUAGAUCAUUAUAAAUGCUAUCCUAGAACAUUGAGGAGCAUUCUAGACAUUCUGAAUGUUAUCCUAGGACAGCCGAGAACAUUGUAACAUUCUAGAUGACUGAAUGUUAUCUGGGCAUUCUAGAACAUAAAACAUACGUAGACAGUUUACAACAGCAUGAAUGUUAUUGUAUGACAUUUUAGACCCAUUGUUUAACAUUCUGGAACCACGCAUUGCAUUCUAGAAAAUUAAAUGUUAUCUUAGACCAUUCUAGAGUGUGAAAUUUUCAUUGCUGAAAAUUCAAGAACACUGAAAGUU